This 535-nucleotide long non-coding RNA is filed under the name Gossypium raimondii (Peruvian cotton). Its description in RNAcentral is "long non-coding RNA (GRAI_LNC002875)". The record is from RNAcentral. Lineage: Eukaryota; Viridiplantae; Streptophyta; Magnoliopsida; Malvales; Malvaceae.
CAGAGCAUCAAUAUUCUUAUUUUUUUUUCAUUGAAAAUAUAAUUGAAUUUAAUAUCAGAAUAGAAGUUCGGAGCAUCCUGCAAUCAUUAAUCAUAACAGCAAAAAGUAUCACAAAAUGAAACAUUUGGAACAAGAGAAAUAACUAUAGUAGAACCAACAUCAAUUUCAAGAUAUGAAAUGCUCAAUUCAAUGCUAGCUUAAGGCCAUCCCACAAUGCCCAAAGUUUAGCUUCUAUGUUGCUAGCCUUGGAUAUGUUGACAAGAAGCGUUCACCUGGUCGCCAUUGUGAUCCCUGAUAAUUUCUCCCAAUCUUGCUCUUCCAAGAUUACCGAUCUAGGAACCAUCAGUAUUUAAUAUUUUCCAAUCUUGACCAGGCGGUUGCCAUCUAACAACCAUUGCCGAAGGUGGAUAUCCAGUUUGAUUGCAAAGGAGUUCGUAAAAAAUUCACUUACCCUGCCAAAUCCCUAAGCCCCACUUUUCCUGUUUAAUAUUUUUGUUGAAGAUCAUAGCAUUUCUUAGCAGCCAUAUUUCCCAUA